UAGAUCUCCCACCCUUGUGUAUCAUUAUAGAAUGUUGCUUUGGCGGGCCGCGCCUAGUGUGCCUGGAUUCGCGUCCAGCGUGCCCGCCAGAGGACCCCUAAACUCUGAAUGUUAGUGUCGUCUGAGUACUAUUAAAUAGUUAAAACUUUCAACAACGGAUCUCUUGGUUCUGGCAUCGAUGAAGAACGCAGCGAAAUGCGAUAAGUAAUGUGAAUUGCAGAAUUCAGUGAAUCAUCGAAUCUUUGAACGCACAUUGCGCCCCCUGGUAUUCCGGGGGGCAUGCCUGUUCGAGCGUCAUUUAUACCAAUCUAGCCUGGCUAGGUGUUGGGCUUCGCCGUUUGGCGGGCCUUAAAACCAGUGGCGGUGCUCUUAGGCUCUACGCGUAGUAAUUUUCUCGCUAUAGGGUCCUGGGAGAUGCUUGCCAGCAACCCCAAAUUUUUCUAGGUUGACCUCGGAUCAGGUAGGGAUACCCGCUGAACUUAAGCAUAUCAAUA
Molecule: ribosomal RNA, 494 nt
Filed under: Lachnum sp. CJL-2014
Lineage: Eukaryota; Fungi; Ascomycota; Leotiomycetes; Helotiales; Lachnaceae
Description: eukaryotic LSU rRNA
Rfam family: 5.8S ribosomal RNA (bases 144-297)
Source: RNAcentral